RNAcentral lists this long non-coding RNA (689 nucleotides) under Marmota monax (woodchuck). The record is from RNAcentral. Lineage: Eukaryota; Metazoa; Chordata; Mammalia; Rodentia; Sciuridae.
CAAGGAGAUGCCCUCCCCACUCCUGGCUCUUCUGCUCCACCUUGUCCUGCAGAAGAAAGAGCCAGGGGAGUGAGGGGCAGGAUUCAGGAUUCUGAGCCCAAUGAGAGGCAAGAGAGCCUGCUUAGUGCUCCCCUGGUCACCGUGAGGCAACUGCACUGACUGCACAGAGGGUGGUGGAGGGAGAAGCAGCACCAGGGCCUGCCCCAAACCCUGGGUUUCCUCCCAUGCCCAGUUCAGUGACUACUCUGCCUUGUGGUCCAAGCUGCCUCCUGAGCUGCCUCCCCACUGCUCCAGUCUCUUGCCCCAAAAUCAAUCUCCCUUACAAACCAUUCCCCCACAGUGUAGCCCAGGGUCCUGACUAAAGCACCACCCUCAUCCAGAAAGUUCCUGAUCACCUCAGAGUGCAGAGUGCAAGGUGGCCAUGUGCCAGAUCUCUGCUUUCUGGCCUCAUUGCCUGCCUGUCUCUGCAGCUCCCUGAGACCCCAAGCUUCUCUAGGUCGACCACACCUUUUGCACAUGCUCCUCCUAUGUCCACGCUGCUCUAAUGUCUCCAUCAUAAGAUAGCAAAACAUCACGCCACUCCACUGGUCCCCAGGAACACACAACCCUCAAGUCCCCAGCCACCAUACUGGCAGUCCACCAUCCUGGGUCACCAACUACAAAGAAGCUCACACCAGCACAGGUGGAAA